UACGUAGGGGGCUAGCGUUGUCCGGAAUCAUUGGGCGUAAAGCGCGUGUAGGCGGUCCGGUAAGUCCGCUGUGAAAGUCGAGGGCUCAACCCUCGAAUGCCGGUGGAUACUGUCGGGCUAGAGUGCGGAAGAGGCGAGUGGAAUUCCUGGUGUAGCGGUGAAAUGCGCAGAUAUCAGGAGGAACACCUAUUGCGAAGGCAGCUCGCUGGGACGCAACUGACGCUGAGACGCGAAAGCGUGGGGAGCAAACAGG
This 253-nucleotide ribosomal RNA is filed under the name uncultured bacterium. Its description in RNAcentral is "partial 16S ribosomal RNA". It matches the Rfam family "Bacterial small subunit ribosomal RNA", at positions 524 to 776 of the family's 1533-position model. The record is from RNAcentral.